AAUCCAUAGGUUAAUGAGGCGAACCGGGGGAACUGAAACAUCUAAGUACCCCGAGGAAAAGAAAUCAACCGAGAUUCCCCCAGUAGCGGCGAGCGAACGGGGAGGAGCCCAGAGCCUGAAUCAGCAUGUGUGUUAGUGGAAGCGUCUGGAAAGGCGCGCGAUACAGGGUGACAGCCCCGUACACAAAAGCGCAUGUGCUGUGAGCUCGAUGAGUAGGGCGGGACACGUGGUAUCCUGUCUGAAUAUGGGGGGACCAUCCUCCAAGGCUAAAUACUCCUGACUGACCGAUAGUGAACCAGUACCGUGAGGGAAAGGCGAAAAGAACCCCGGCGAGGGGAGUGAAAAAGAACCUGAAACCGUGUACGUACAAGCAGUGGGAGCCCCACCACCAAAGCAUUUGCUGUACCGCGUUGACGGAGCGAAGCGACGUCAAACCGAUAAAACAGCAGUGUAAAGUGAGCCGCAGGGCGCUUUGCGCGACAGCGCAAAGGCAGGCGGUUUCGCGUAGCGAAAGCGAAUGCUUUGGGGUGGGGUGACUGCGUACCUUUUGUAUAAUGGGUCAGCGACUUAUAUUCUGUAGCAAGGUUAACCGAAUAGGGGAGCCGGAGGGAAACCGAGUCUUAAUUGGGCGUUAAGUUGCAGGGUAUAGACCCGAAACCCGGUGAUCUAG
This 670-nucleotide ribosomal RNA is filed under the name Salmonella enterica subsp. enterica serovar Enteritidis. RNAcentral describes it as "partial 23S ribosomal RNA". It matches the Rfam family "Bacterial large subunit ribosomal RNA", at positions 161 to 733 of the family's 2925-position model. The record is from RNAcentral. Lineage: Bacteria; Pseudomonadati; Pseudomonadota; Gammaproteobacteria; Enterobacterales; Enterobacteriaceae.